Molecule: non-coding RNA, 839 nt
Filed under: Megalodontes spiraeae
Lineage: Eukaryota; Metazoa; Arthropoda; Insecta; Hymenoptera; Megalodontesidae
Source: RNAcentral
UAUUGAUUUAUUUUAUGUUAUUAGAUUAAUUUCAAUUUUAAUAUAUAUAUAAAUUUUUGUAUGUUUAUAUUUAAUAAUUUUAAAUAAAUUAUUAUAAUUAUAAUAAUUUAUUUUUAUUUAUAGUAUAUAAUUUUAAUAAUUAAAUAAUUUUAGAAUUAGAAAUAAUUUAAAGUAUUGGUAAAAUUUGUGCCAGCAACUGCGGUUAAACAAAUAAUACAAAUUAAUUUUUUUAGGUAAAGUAGUUAAUAUUAUUAUUUUUUUUUAUAAUUAUAAUAUAAAUUAUUUGGUGAAAUAUAUAAUUUAUAAAAUUUUAUAUAUUUUUAUAUAUAAAUCUAUUAAAUUUUUAAAUAAACUAGGAUUAGAUACCCUAUUAUUGAAAAUGUAAAAAAUUUUAUACUAAGUUAUUAAUAGUUAAAAUCUUUAAAGUUAAUAAUUUUGGCGGUAUUAUAGUCAUUUUAGAGGAACCUGUAUUUUAAUUGAUAGUCCACAAUUUAUUUUACUUAAUUUGGUCAUUCAAUUUAUAUACCGCCGUUAUUAGAAAAUUUUAAAUGAAAAAUAAUUUUUAUAAUUUUUUAUAUUAAAAAGAAAUUCAGGUCAAGGUGUAGUUUAUGGUUAAGUUAAUAUGGGUUACAAUAAAAUUAUUUAAAAUUUGAUUAAAAAUUAAUGGAAUAAUAAUUGAAAAUUAUUAUGAAAGUGGAUUUAAAAGUAAAUUAAAUAAAUUAAUUUAAUUGAUUUAUGCUCUAUAAUAUGUACAUAUCGCCCGUCGCUCUCAUGAAUAAGUGAGAUAAGUCGUAACAUAGUAGAUGUACUGGAAAGUGUAUCUAGAAAGUAUUUAUAUA